RNAcentral lists this ribosomal RNA (253 nucleotides) under uncultured bacterium. Its description in RNAcentral is "partial 16S ribosomal RNA". It matches the Rfam family "Bacterial small subunit ribosomal RNA", at positions 524 to 776 of the family's 1533-position model. The record is from RNAcentral.
UACGUAGGGUGCAAGCGUUGUCCGGAAUUAUUGGGCGUAAAGAGCUCGUAGGCGGUCUGUCGCGUCGGCUGUGAAAUCCCGGAGCUCAACUCCGGGUCUGCAGUCGAUACGGGCAGACUGGAGUUCGGCAGGGGAGACUGGAAUUCCUGGUGUAGCGGUGAAAUGCGCAGAUAUCAGGAGGAACACCGGUGGCGAAGGCGGAUCUCUGGGCCGAUACUGACGCUGAGGAGCGAAAGCGUGGGGAGCGAACAGG